Molecule: ribosomal RNA, 774 nt
Filed under: uncultured Neocallimastigales
Lineage: Eukaryota; Fungi; Neocallimastigomycota; Neocallimastigomycetes; Neocallimastigales
Description: partial large subunit ribosomal RNA
Rfam family: Eukaryotic large subunit ribosomal RNA
Source: RNAcentral
UAUCUCUGUAGAGUCUGCAUAUCAAUAGCGGAGGAAAAGAAACUAACUAGGAUUCCCUCAGUAACGGCGAGUGAAGCGGGAAGAGCUCAAAUUUGAAAUCUUCAAGGUUCUACCUUGACGAAUUGUAGUUUAAAGAAGUGUUUUCUGUUGAAGUUUCGGUAAAAGUUCUUUGGAAUAGGACAUCAUAGAGGGUGAGAAUCCCGUAUUUGACCAUUACUUUCCAGCGUUGUGAUACACUUUCAAAGAGUCGGAUUGUUUGGGAAUGCAGUCCAAAAUGGGUGGUAAAUUUCAUCUAAAGCUAAAUAUUGGCGAGAGACCGAUAGCGAACAAGUACCGUGAGGGAAAGAUGAAAAGAACUUUGAAAAGAGAGUUAAACAGUACGUGAAAUUGUCAAAAGGGAAGCGUUUGACACCAGUGUUGUUUUCUCGAAAAUCAAUUAAAAAAAGUUGGAUUUUGUAUUGUUAAGACCUUAUCAGCUUACUGUACUCUUUUCUUGCUUUUUUUAAUGCACUUUUCGUUUAACAAGUCAACAUCAAUUUCUUUUGUUGUAAAAGAGUCAUUGGAAGGUGGCUUUCACUUCGGUGAAAGUGUUUAUAGCCUUUGGCUUCUGCAAUCGGAGAGAUUGAGGUCUGCAGCGUAGAUCCUUCGGGGCUAGAUACGUAGAUGCUAAGUUAUAGUUUUUUAUAGACAACUUGUUGACUAUAAUUAAUCAUGUAGCUUACUCGUUUGCGCUAUUUUACCUACGCUUAGGAUGUUGAUCUGUAGUGCGUGCGC